GACAAGCAAGUUCAUAACCGUCCCUUGAUGGAUGUCCUUUUCCCAGAUUUUUUUCACACACUAUACUGGAGUUGCCGUGGAGCUGAUCUUCAAUAACAGCAACAGCAGCAGCAUAAUAUAUCUUUCCUUUUUUUCAUUGUGGUGAUCUUUGGCACCGACGGCUUUUACCCCAUGUUCACCUCUGUCACUUUUGUUGAAUGAUAUACUCCUAUUUGUUUUGUAAUUUGAUUGUGUACAUUACAUGUGCCAUUCAAAAUAAGCCAAAAAUAAUAAUAAUAAUAAUAAAAAAUAGUCUGAGUUUGAAG
Molecule: long non-coding RNA, 305 nt
Filed under: Panax ginseng (ginseng)
Lineage: Eukaryota; Viridiplantae; Streptophyta; Magnoliopsida; Apiales; Araliaceae
Description: long non-coding RNA (PGIN_LNC013415)
Source: RNAcentral